This 599-nucleotide long non-coding RNA is filed under the name Gallus gallus (chicken). RNAcentral describes it as "lncRNA (ENSGALG00010016009.1)". The record is from RNAcentral. Lineage: Eukaryota; Metazoa; Chordata; Aves; Galliformes; Phasianidae.
GAAUCGUCAAGGCUGGAAAAGAUCAAGUCCAACCAUUAGCCCAUCCCCACCAUGCCCACUAACCAUGUCCAUAAGGUGCCACUUCUACACGUUACUUGGGACACCUCCAGGACUGGUGCCUUCACCACCCGUACCUGUGCACAACUUCAGCGAUCAUGGAUGGGCCUCUCAGUGUUACUGAAGCAACCAAAUAUGUUGAAGCCUAAGGUCAGUAGCAGGACCCAGGCCAUGUGCACAGUGACCUUGCCUGGUUUAGCAUUGCAGGGAUGUCCCCAAGCCCCUGCUGUAUGAGGCUGCAUUGUGUGGAUCUCAGGAACAAUCAGCCCUAAGACUCGCUCUAAAUGGCCUAAAUCCAUACGUAAUAUGACAAUAGUGGGGAUCUCUGAAGUUUGUUGGACAACGAAUCUGAACUGCAGGGGAACUGACGGUUGGUUCUCCGAAAAUGAGUGGAUCUUUGCACUACGAAGGGGAAAACAACUGCAGGUGAUGGAAACAGUAGACCUGCCAGAGGGCCGCUGGCAGCUGCAAACCUCAGCGUUUGGCUUGUGAGCCCAGUGAGUAAACUUGAGCUGGAAAUGGCUGCAAAAUCUGAAUGUGGG